GACGAACGCUGGCGGCGUGCUUAACACAUGCAAGUCGAACGGAAAGGCCCUGCUUUUGUGGGGUGCUCGAGUGGCGAACGGGUGAGUAACACGUGAGUAACCUGCCCUUGACUUUGGGAUAACUUCAGGAAACUGGGGCUAAUACCGGAUAGGAGCUCCUGCUGCAUGGUGGGUGUUGGAAAGUUUCGGCGGUUGGGGAUGGACUCGCGGCUUAUCAGCUUGUUGGUGGGGUAGUGGCUUACCAAGGCUUUGACGGGUAGCCGGCCUGCGAGGGUGACCGGCCACAUUGGGACUGAGAUACGGCCCAGACUCCUACGGGAGGCAGCAGUGGGGAAUAUUGCACAAUGGGCGGAAGCCUGAUGCAGCAACGCCGCGUGCGGGAUGACGGCCUUCGGGUUGUAAACCGCUUUCGCCUGUGACGAAGCGUGAGUGACGGUAAUGGGUAAAGAAGCACCGGCUAACUACGUG
This 468-nucleotide ribosomal RNA is filed under the name uncultured bacterium. RNAcentral describes it as "partial 16S ribosomal RNA". It matches the Rfam family "Bacterial small subunit ribosomal RNA", at positions 28 to 507 of the family's 1533-position model. The record is from RNAcentral.